CUACCGGCGCCGAGAGGCGACGGGAUGGGCCACCAGACGUCAGCAGAGGCCAUAGUAAGUGCCGGUUCACCGCGGCACCAAGGGC
Non-coding RNA from Halomonas chromatireducens, 85 nucleotides. The record is from Rfam. Lineage: Bacteria; Pseudomonadati; Pseudomonadota; Gammaproteobacteria; Oceanospirillales; Halomonadaceae.